GGGGGGGUAAGAUGUACGCAGUCCAUACCUCUACCUCUGAUGAAGUAGAAAGGCUGUUUCCGAAAGACCCCCGGCUCAAGUCACGAGAUAUCCCACAAACACAUAGUACAGCACAGAAGCAGAUGACAUAACAUAGAUACGGCACCCAUAAGGAAUAUAAAACAGAGUAAAGCAGGAAUGCAGGACCAAUUAAUUCCCUACCCUAGCGACCCGAACUGGCCCUAAUCCUCUGCCGUAAUUCGCAUCUUCCAGACCUUCCUAUCUAGGGUCAUGUCCUCGGUGAGCUGUAACUGUUCCAUGUCCCGCCUAAUCACCUCACCCCAGUACUUUUUCGGUCUACCCCUACCCCGUCUAAAACCAUCCAACGCUAGCCUCUCACACCUACGGACCGGGGCAUCCAUGCCCCUCCUCUUCACGUGUCUGAACCAUCUCAAUCGUGCUUCCCGCAUCUUACACUCCACUGAAGUCACACCAACCUUCUCCCGGAUAGUCUCAUUCCGAACUCUAUCCCCUCGUGUCAGUCCACACAUCCAGCGCAA
Molecule: long non-coding RNA, 539 nt
Filed under: Capsicum annuum
Lineage: Eukaryota; Viridiplantae; Streptophyta; Magnoliopsida; Solanales; Solanaceae
Description: long non-coding RNA (CANN_LNC002996)
Source: RNAcentral